GAUGAACGCUGGCGGCGUGCCUAAUACAUGCAAGUCGAGCGAACAGACGAGGAGCUUGCUCCUCUGACGUUAGCGGCGGACGGGUGAGUAACACGUGGAUAACCUCCCUAUAAGACUGGGAUAACUUCGGGAAACCGGAGCUAAUACCGGAUAAUAUUUUGAACCGCAUGGUUCAAUAGUGAAAGACGGUUUUGCUGUCACUUAUAGAUGGAUCCGCGCCGCAUUAGCUAGUUGGUAAGGUAACGGCUUACCAAGGCAACGAUGCGUAGCCGACCUGAGAGGGUGAUCGGCCACACUGGAACUGAGACACGGUCCAGACUCCUACGGGAGGCAGCAGUAGGGAAUCUUCCGCAAUGGGCGAAAGCCUGACGGAGCAACGCCGCGUGAGUGAUGAAGGUCUUCGGAUCGUAAAACUCUGUUAUUAGGGAAGAACAAAUGUGUAAGUAACUGUGCACGUCUUGACGGUACCUAAUCAGAAAGCCACGGCUAACUACGUG
Molecule: ribosomal RNA, 497 nt
Filed under: uncultured bacterium
Lineage: Bacteria
Description: partial 16S ribosomal RNA
Rfam family: Bacterial small subunit ribosomal RNA
Source: RNAcentral